Molecule: ribosomal RNA, 253 nt
Filed under: uncultured bacterium
Lineage: Bacteria
Description: partial 16S ribosomal RNA
Rfam family: Bacterial small subunit ribosomal RNA
Source: RNAcentral
UACGUAGGGGGCCAGCGUUGCUCGGAAUUACUGGGCGUAAAGGGUUCGUAGGCGGUGCGGCAAGUUGGGAGUGAAAUCUCUGGGCUCAACUCAGAGGCUGCUUUCAAAACUGCCGUGCUCGAGUGCGGGAGAGGCGAGUGGAAUUGCAGGUGUAGCGGUGAAAUGCGUAGAUAUCUGCAGGAACACCCGUGGCGAAGGCGGCUCGCUGGACCGCAACUGACGCUGAGGAACGAAAGCUAGGGGAGCAAACAGG